This 450-nucleotide ribosomal RNA is filed under the name uncultured bacterium. RNAcentral describes it as "partial 16S ribosomal RNA". It matches the Rfam family "Bacterial small subunit ribosomal RNA", at positions 338 to 795 of the family's 1533-position model. The record is from RNAcentral.
CCUACGGGUGGCUGCAGUGGGGAAUAUUGGACAAUGGGCGCAAGCCUGAUCCAGCAAUGCCGCGUGUGUGAAGAAGGCCUGCGGGUUGUAAAGCACUUUAAGCAGGAAAGAAGGGGUGAAAGUUAAUACCUUUCAUCAUUGACGUUACCUGCAGAAUAAGCACCGGCUAACUCCGUGCCAGCAGCCGCGGUAAUACGGAGGGUGCGAGCGUUAAUCGGAAUUACUGUACGCGGAUCGCGCGGUGGGUGUUGAAAGCCCUGGGCUUAACCUGGGAACUGCGGUGGAUACUGUCGGGCUAGAGUGUGGUAGAGGGGAGUGGAAUUUCCGGUGUAGCAGUGAAAUGCGUAGAGAUCGGAAGGAACACCAGUGGCGAAGGCGGCUCCCUGGACUAACACUGACGCUGAGGUGCGAAAGCGUGGGGAGCAAACAGGAUUAGAUACCCUAGUAGUC